GUGGGUGUAGGAAUGAGUAAAGUCAUUGAGCUGCCACUUAAAACUUGUAAAUUAUGGGCUGGAGAGACGCCCAGAGGACCUGGGUUCAAGUCCCAGCACCCACA
Molecule: transfer RNA, 104 nt
Filed under: Rattus norvegicus (Norway rat)
Lineage: Eukaryota; Metazoa; Chordata; Mammalia; Rodentia; Muridae
Rfam family: tRNA
About the family: Transfer RNA (tRNA) molecules are approximately 80 nucleotides in length. Their secondary structure includes four short double-helical elements and three loops (D, anti-codon, and T loops). Further hydrogen bonds mediate the characteristic L-shaped molecular structure. tRNAs have two regions of fundamental functional importance: the anti-codon, which is responsible for specific mRNA codon recognition, and the 3' end, to which the tRNAs corresponding amino acid is attached (by aminoacyl-tRNA synthetases). tRNAs cope with the degeneracy of the genetic code in two manners: having more than one tRNA (with a specific anti-codon) for a particular amino acid; and 'wobble' base-pairing, i.e. permitting non-standard base-pairing at the 3rd anti-codon position.
Source: Rfam by way of RNAcentral